RNAcentral lists this ribosomal RNA (468 nucleotides) under uncultured bacterium. Its description in RNAcentral is "partial 16S ribosomal RNA". It matches the Rfam family "Bacterial small subunit ribosomal RNA", at positions 28 to 507 of the family's 1533-position model. The record is from RNAcentral.
GACGAACGCUGGCGGCGUGCUUAACACAUGCAAGUCGAACGGAAAGGCCCUGCUUUUGUGGGGUGCUCGAGUGGCGAACGGGUGAGUAACACGUGAGUAACCUGCCCUUGACUUUGGGAUAACUUCAGGAGACUGGGGAUAAUACCGGAUAGGAGCUCCUGCUGCAUGGUGGGGGUUGGAAAGUUUCGGCGGUUGGGGAUGGACUCGCGGCUUAUCAGCUUGUUGGGGGGGUAGUUGCUUACCAAGGCUUUGACGGGUAGCCGGCCUGAGAGGGUGACCGGCGACAUUGGGACUGAGAGACGCCCCAGACGCGUACGGGAGGCAGCAGUGGGGAAUAUUGCACAAUGGGCGGAAGCCUGAUGCAGCAACGCUGCGUGCGGGAUGACGGCCUUCGGGUUGUAAACCGCUUUCGCCUGUGACGAAGCGUGAGUGACGGUAAUGGGUAAAGAAGCACCGGCUAACUACGUG